Molecule: unclassified non-coding RNA, 240 nt
Filed under: soil metagenome
Description: partial contains 5.8S ribosomal RNA, internal transcribed spacer 2, and large subunit ribosomal RNA
Source: RNAcentral
AACUGAUACUACCUGCGGGAACCUGCGGAGGGAUCAUUAUAGAGUGGUAAACCCUCUGUAAAAGGGGGGGACCUCCUGUCCUUUGUAGGCUCUUUUUUAAAGGGCUUUUUUUAAUUUUCUGCUUCGGUGGGGUUAUCCCACCGGAACAACCUCAAAACUCUGAUCAAAAAAUCGUUCUGUCUGAGAACUUUUUAUAAUAAAAAAAAAACUUUUAACAAUGGAUCUCUAGAUCGGAAGAGC